GAUGAACGCUGGCGGCGUGCCUAAUACAUGCAAGUCGAGCGAACAGACGAGGAGCUUGCUCCUCUGACGUUAGCGGCGGACGGGUGAGUAACACGUGGAUAACCUACCUCUAAGACUGGGAUAACUUCGGGAAACCGGAGCUACUACCGGAUAAUAUAUUGAACCGCAUGGUUCAAUAGUGAAAGACGGUUUUGCUGUCACUUAUAGAUGGAUCCGCGCCGCAUUAGCUAGUUGGUAAGGUAACGGCUUACCAAGGCAACGAUGCGUAGCCGACCUGAGAGGGUGAUCGGCCACACUGGAACUGAGACACGGUCCAGACUCCUACGGGAGGCAGCAGUAGGGAAUCUUCCGCAAAGGGCGAAAGCCUGACGGAGCAACGUCGCGUGAGUGAUGAAGGUCUUCGGAUCGUAAAACUCUGUUAUUAGGGAAGAACAAAUGUGUAAGUAACUAUGCACGUCUUGACGGUACCUAAUCAGAAAGCCACGGCUAACUACGUG
Molecule: ribosomal RNA, 497 nt
Filed under: uncultured bacterium
Lineage: Bacteria
Description: partial 16S ribosomal RNA
Rfam family: Bacterial small subunit ribosomal RNA
Source: RNAcentral